UGACCAGCUUUCCACAGGCAGCCUGCGCCCCUCAGAGGCUCUGGGAGUGCCUCUUGCCCUGAUUUAAGGCACUUGCCCUGUAGGCCGCCUAAAACCCAGGGCCACACCCACUUGAGUCACCAUCAGUUCAUUUCAGGUUUGGAUAUGAAAAGAAACAAUGUGGAAAAACAUGUAUAUGGCAACAUCUCCAAGAACAGUACCUUCACCGCUCUCUCCCAGUGGCUGCAGCCUCUGCAGUCAGUGGACCCGCCGGGGAGAGGGGCUCAGGUUCAGAGGAAGGCAGGAGACCUAAUUCUGAACAAUUCAGCCAUACUCUCUGGUAGAGUUAAGUGGCACUGAGCAUGGCACCUAGAAAAAUCUCUCAUGCAUGUUUCCUUUCAGAAUCAAGAGACUCCAACCUUAAGUGGAGAAAUUAAGAAUGAAACCAAAUUUGGGUGGUCUGGGCUUGAGGACAACUAGGCAACCUGCGACACUGUGGGUGAGGAGAGGGGAGAAGCCCUUAAACCCACAGCAGCCAGGACACACUCCACAGUGGGAAAGCCUGGCCACAGGACAGUCACAUUCUAGUGAGAAAGCCUGGCCACUGGCUCCACUGAACCCAUAAGACAUUCUGACGAAGUCCCACGACGUGAAGAACAUGGGGACAAAUAACACUUGUGUGAAACCCAAGUGUCUACGUGGUUUCUUUUUCAAGUAGAGCCUUUGCUUUUACCGAUUCCAAAUGGCCCAGUGUACUUUCUGAGUCUAUGAACUUCAUUACAAAUCCACUAGCAUGUGGCAAGGUCAGUUCAACACUUUUUAUCUCUGCUGACUGUGCAGAUGCAAAUUCAGUACCAUUGUGGACACAAAGUAGGAGAUUCUGAAAAUAUUACCAAGCGCUUGAAAGCCACAGCAGCAGGGACGGGAAGGUCACUAAGAUGCAAGCGUAACCAGACUCUUUCAAUGAAAAUAAGGAAAUGAGCUUUUGGAAGAAUCUGUCACAAAUGAACUGCAGUAAUGACAUCAUUUUAGCAUUAAAAAAAAAGAGAGAGCAGUCUUACUCAAACAUUCUUUGGAACACACAGCUUACCAGAAAUGGAUGUGUUCAGAAUCUGUAGGAUACAACUAAGAAGGUUCUGUAUUGGAACUCUGAGCAUCUAAGCGUCAGAUCAAGACAGAGGAAGAGAGAUUUACCACCACCUUUAAAACUAACAAAACUCUUUGACCCAAAAAUACCACUUCUAGGAAUCGGGGUGGGGGGAUUCAGAGUCAAAAGCCAAAGAUUUAUAAGGAUAUUCAUCGCAGCAUUAUUUAAAUAGUGAAAAACCAGAAACCAUCUAAAUGUUUCACAACAGGGAAAUGGUCAGAUAAAUUAUGAUAAAAUGUAUAACAUUAAACUCUACAAUCAUUAAAAACAAUGUUUUUGAAUCAUUGUUCAUAUAUGAAGACAUGGGGAAAUGCUUAAGAUAAAAUCAUCAAGUGAAAAAAGCUGGAUGCAAAAUGGUGUAUGUUGUAUGCUCCCAGUUUAGCUUAAAAAGGAAACAACUGUGUGUG
Ceratotherium simum simum (southern white rhinoceros) is the source of this 1533-nucleotide non-coding RNA. NCBI's taxonomy places the organism in Eukaryota, Metazoa, Chordata, Mammalia, Perissodactyla, Rhinocerotidae. The record is from RefSeq and is a predicted model, not a curated record.